AACUUCCCCCCAGCGCCUCUCAUUGGGAAUUCCUGGCAUCCGUCAGGCGGGUCCCUGUGCAUAUAGGUGGACUGGGCGGCCCCCUCCGGGCGUGCACGCCACCGCCCACUCCCUGGGUUCCCACUCCCCCGCAGCUCAUGUGACACCACCUUAAGCUGAACCGGAGUGGAGCCGGGGGACGCCUCCCGGAGCUCGGGGACCAAACAGCACUGAGCUUAGGAGUCGCGGGAGUCGCCGAGGAUUGGCCCGGUUCCCUGCCGGCGGGAAGGCCUGGAACUUGGGCGCACCGGUGUUCCUGCGGUCCCACGAAAGCUCCGAACCCCAGAUCUGCGAGGGGAAACCCGAGGCGUAUUUCGUUUUCUUUUUCCCGGGGAACCUGGGUCGGGACAAGUCAGUACCCUGGAAAGGGGUGGCGAGGGCCUACAGUAAAAAGGAAUUUCCUGAUUCCACCGCCGCUGCUCCGGUCCCGCCCCUUGGGACCAGGCUGAUCCCUGCCCUGCCGGAGCCAGGUAUCUUCACUGCGUGCUGGUUGGAACUACCAUGACAAAAGCCACCAUGAACAUUUCGGGGUGUGUUUUUGAUGAACGCAUGCAUUCAUUUCUCUUGAAUGUAUACCUCCAAGUGUAACUGCCCGGUCACAGGGUUGGCAUAUGUGUCUCUUUAGGCUGGAGAUUGAACCUAGGCCUUCAUGAAUGUUAGGCAAGCACUCUUCCCCUGAUCUACAGCCCUGGCCGGUGGACAGAUAUAUGAAGACACAAAGACAGAAUGCCAGCCCAGGGCCUGGUAGACAGCAGGCUUCUACAACAGUCAUUCACUCUCCUUGCCCUACUAGGAGGUGUUAGCCCUGCAGAGCCCUGUACAGAAACACAGACAAGUAGGUUCUAUAAGAUACUGGAAACUGCCAGGCGAUGGUGACCCACACCUUUAAUCCCAGCAGAGACAGGCGGAUCUCUGAGUUCAAGGCCAGCCUAGUCUCGGCAGCAAGUUCCAGGACAACCAGGGCUACAGAGAGAAACUAUCUGAGACCUCCCUCCUCAAAAAAAAAAAAAAAAAAAAAGAUUCUGGAAACUUUUUCACUGUGAGAUCCCUAGUGCAGCAGUCCAGGGAUUUCCUCCUUUGUAUCCUGGCUCUCUCCCUUUACAGGGUGAGAGUCAUGGAUUCCUAAGGGCACAGAGGCACCGUGGUCAUUUGAAGACAGAAUUGAGUUCAUAUCCUUAAUCUGAACCUCCAAACUUUGUUUGUUUGGUUAUUUUUAUUUACUUAUUUUGUUUUGUUAUUUUUUAAGAGCCCAGGCUGGUCUUGAACUCUACAUAGCUAAAGAUGACCUGAGCUCUGGUCCUCUUUCCUUCUCCUCC
Non-coding RNA from Peromyscus maniculatus bairdii (prairie deer mouse), 1355 nucleotides. The record is from RefSeq and is a predicted model, not a curated record. Lineage: Eukaryota; Metazoa; Chordata; Mammalia; Rodentia; Cricetidae.